GGGCGCUGUGGCUCAAGCCUGUAAUCCCAGCACUUUGGGAGGACGAGGCAGGCAGAACACCUGAGGUGAGAAGUUUGAGACCAGCCUGGCCAACAUGGCCAAACCUUGUCUCUACUGAAAAUAUAAAAAUUAGCCAGGCAUGGUGGCGAGCGCCUGUAAUCCCACCUACUCUGGAGGCUGAGGCAGAAGAAUCUCUUGAACCUGGAAGGCGGAGGUUGCAGUGAGCCGAGAUCACACCACUGCCCUCCAGCCUGGGCGACAGAACAAGACUCCGUGUCAGAAAAAAAAAAAGAAAAGAAAAGAAAAAGAAAAAGAAAAGAACUCGGUGGAGCACAAGUAGCUGAGUAAUGCCCCAGAAGCCGGCAUCAUUGUUGGACAGCUCAGAUGUUCAGGAUGUUUCAUUUUGAGCCUACCUCAUUGGAAUUUCAAAAUAUUGGCCUCUUUGGAGCAAUACAGAGCAAGUCUGUUCCUUCAAGUAGAUGAAAAGCUCCCUGCAUGUCUUCCAUUGGACUUCUCCCCUUUAGCUUAAAAAUAUCCACAGUCCUGAAACAUGGCUCAGAAGCAGAUAUUACCCAAACCCUACUCUUAAAGCUCGGCCAGCCAGCCACAUGCAGGACCCUGAAGCAAAUAAGAGGCAGUGACCUGAGAAGCUACGUAUUGACACGGCGCUACCACGGGUGGAGGAGCCUGCAUUGCUGAAUCACAGGAUGAAGGCGAAUCCCUGCCAGCCUCCAUCCAUCUCUGGGGUGCUUAGCAGAAUCCUCAGCUCACAAGAUGAAUAAAUGCAGACUAAAUGAUGCACAAAUAAUCUUCACACACAACCAUCAACACAUGGAAAGACUGCAGGACGGCCAGAUCCCAAGCUAACAAACAGGGGAAGAUGAUGUUUCAAAUGAUCAUCUGAAUGCUGGGUUUCCACCUUCCACCAGGAAGUCAUAUGGUCAAAUUAUCCCGGAUCCUGAAAUAUAUCUUUUGAUAGAAAUGACUCUGGUACUUUCCGCAACUUACUUUCUAUGGAGCACUUUCCUGAAACAAGAUUUGUGUUUAAAUAUUCCUCCUUCUACAAAGUAUUAAACAGUAGUAAGUUCUGCAACGUUGACAAUGGAAACCUGGCAAUGUGCCCUUGUUUGACUAUUAAGGAAUUGCUUCCAAGUACCACAGGGCCUUGAAGACCAAAAUAACACAAUUACCUGGAAGGUGAACAAUGGCAACUUAUCAGGUGUGGUAAACACUUUUUUCCCAAGAAGAUCCUUUAUUCCUUCUGAAUGCACAUCAAGAAGGAGUGAAUACAUAAAUCACAUAUUUGUUAAUAA
Molecule: long non-coding RNA, 1313 nt
Organism: Homo sapiens (human)
Lineage: Eukaryota; Metazoa; Chordata; Mammalia; Primates; Hominidae
Gene: CT69
Product: cancer/testis associated transcript 69
Source: Ensembl